This 492-nucleotide ribosomal RNA is filed under the name uncultured bacterium. RNAcentral's name for it is "partial 16S ribosomal RNA". It matches the Rfam family "Bacterial small subunit ribosomal RNA", at positions 30 to 507 of the family's 1533-position model. The record is from RNAcentral.
AUUGAACGCUGGCGGCAUGCUUUACACAUGCAAGUCGAACGGUAACAGGCCUUCGGGUGCUGACGAGUGGCGAACGGGUGAGUAAUGCAUCGGAACGUGCCCAGAGGUGGGGGAUAACGCAGCGAAAGCUGUGCUAAUACCGCAUGUGAUCUGAGGAUGAAAGCGGGGGACCAAGCAGCAAUGUUUGGCCUCGCGCCUCUGGAGCGGCCGAUGUCAGAUUAGGUAGUUGGUGGGGUAAAGGCCUACCAAGCCGACGAUCUGUAGCUGGUCUGAGAGGACGACCAGCCACACUGGGACUGAGACACGGCCCAGACUCCUACGGGAGGCAGCAGUGGGGAAUUUUGGACAAUGGGCGCAAGCCUGAUCCAGCAAUGCCGCGUGAGGGAAGAAGGCCUUCGGGUUGUAGACCGCUUUUGUACGGAACGAAAAGGCUCUGGCUAAUACCUGGGGCUGAUGACGGUACCGUAAGAAUAAGCACCGGCUAACUACGUG